AAGGGAGACCUAAUUCGGGUAGGAGACGAAAAAAAAGUAGUCGCUACCAAGAAUCAAUCCCAAAAGGUCGGAGCGAGGCAAGAUUGGCUUUCAAACUAGGUUCUGGGUUCACACAAGACCUGAAUCAGGAACAAGGGCUAUUAGCUCAGGUGGUUAGAGCGCACCCCUGAUAAGGGUGAGGUCCCUGGUUCGAGUCCAGGAUGGCCCACCUGUACAGGUGGCAAAAACAAAGAAAAGAAGCGAGGAAUCAGCACCUUAUCUUACUUAUAUAGUAAGAGAGAAUGCUGGCUCUGAGUAAAGAGUCCAGAGGAACCUUGAAAACUGCAUAGAGCUAGGUGAAAAAGCCAAAAAAGAAGACCGCAA
This 363-nucleotide transfer RNA is filed under the name uncultured Microcystis sp. RNAcentral describes it as "partial miscellaneous RNA". The stretch from base 135 to 208 matches the Rfam family "tRNA". Lineage: Bacteria; Bacillati; Cyanobacteriota; Cyanophyceae; Chroococcales; Microcystaceae. The record is from RNAcentral.